Castor canadensis (American beaver) is the source of this 1649-nucleotide non-coding RNA. The record is from RefSeq and is a predicted model, not a curated record. Lineage: Eukaryota; Metazoa; Chordata; Mammalia; Rodentia; Castoridae.
AAACAAAAAAAAACAAUCUCUUAAUGUCUGAUUACAGGGAAAUAUAACUUCCUCUAUUUCCAGGAAGAAAAAUGAAUAAUUUGAUGGACACUGAGCAUAGGUUCUACUGAAGUAAGCGUUGAUUUCCAAACCUUGAUAUUUCAGACCAAAUCUCUCCAAUGUAUUUUGUGUCAUCACAGAGUUUGCAUCAUCAGAUAAAUUUGGAUACCAAGACACAGGGAGCGAAUGCAAUAAGAAGAUGAAGGCAGAGAUGAGGAUGAUGUUUCUACAAGCCAAAAUACACCCAAGAAUGCCAGAAAAGCACUAGAAGAAUCAGACAUUUGGGAUUCAAAAUCUCCUGUUGUGUUACCUGGAUGAAUAAACUUCCAGAAGCUACUUUAUUUCUUUAGUUCUCAAAUUCUUCAUCUGUGAAUGGGACAGGUCAGCAGCUAUCUUGAAGACUACAUUUCCUGCAUAGGAUUCUGGUUCCUGUUUUUGGAGAGAGCAGGACACACCUUAUUCACAAAUUAUGGUACAAAUUUCUUCUAACCUUCAUGAAGAUUCCUGAAGGACUAACACAUAGCACUGAUCUCUGUUUUACCUAACUUGGAUCUGAUUAAGCUUGAAAGUUGUGCUUGAAAACAUUGAAAAUUAUAUGAAACAGCUCAGAUGCCUGGAGCAAAAGAUUAAAAUUGAGAUAUAAAAUAAAUUACCUAAGGCCUGGGAGAAAAAGCUAAGGAGGGUUUCAUUAGGAAAUUAGAGGGUAACAAAAAGCACUCAUAUAUAAGAAAAAACUUAGAAAGUCAUUUACAUAUAAUGAGGUAUCACUUCACAUCUGCUAGGAUAUAUCUAAUCAUAAAAAGAAAAAGGUAUCAAGUAUUGGCGAGGAUAUGGAGUAACAGAAACCUAUGUACACUCUCAAUUACAAAGUCAUUAUGGAAAAGAAUAUGUAGGUUCUUCAUUACUUAAAAAUAGAAGUGUCAUAUGGUACGACCAUCCCAUAAUUGAAUAUACAACCACAGGAAGAUAAUUCUAGGUGACAAAGAGAUACCUGUACUCCCAAGUACAAUGCAGCAUUAUCUUAAUAACCAAGAUAUAGUGUUGUCAGUCUCCAUUAAUCAAUAAAAUGUGUUACAUGUAUACAUUGGAAAUUUCCAUUCUUAAAAAUGAAGAAAAUCCUGCUACAAGGAUGUACCUCAGGAUAUUAGGUUGUUUUAUAAAUCAGGCAAAGAACAAUAAGCACCAUAUAGUCUCAUACAUGGAACCUAAAUACAUUGAACUCAUUGAAGUAGAGAGUAAAAGGUGGUGAGCAGGAGUUAGGGAGUUGGGACUUUUAGGGAGACAUUGGUCAAAGCAUAUGAAUUUUCAGUUAGACAGUAGGAAUAAGUUAAAGAGAUCCAUGUUAUAACAUCGUGACUAUACUUAACAAUAGUAUAUUGUAAAUUUGAAGUUUGCUAAAAGGAGAUUUUGUGUUCACACCAAAAAAAAUUUGUAUUGGCUUAGUACAUAAAUUAAUUUGAUUAAUACAUUCCACAUUGUAUACAUAUAUCAGAACAUCAUGUACUCCAUAAAUAUGUACACUUUAAUUCUUUUAAAUAAAAUGAACAAAAAUCAUGUGCAUUUUGUAGGGAAAGUCUCAUGUUCAGAAAACACUUCAGAAAACUAUGACC